RNAcentral lists this ribosomal RNA (439 nucleotides) under uncultured bacterium. Its description in RNAcentral is "partial 16S ribosomal RNA". It matches the Rfam family "Bacterial small subunit ribosomal RNA", at positions 339 to 795 of the family's 1533-position model. The record is from RNAcentral.
CUACGGGUGGCAGCAGUGGGGAAUAUUGCACAAUGGAGGAAACUCUGAUGCAGCAACGCCGCGUGGAGGAUGACACUUUUCGGAGCGUAAACUCCUUUUAUAUAGGAAGAAGAUGACGGUACUAUAUGAAUAAGCGCCGGCUAACUCCGUGCCAGCAGCCGCGGUAAUACGGAGGGCGCAAGCGUUACUCGGAAUCACUGGGCGUAGAGAGCGUGUAGGCGGAUUAAAAAGUCAGAAGUGAAAUCCUAUAGCUUAACUAUAGAACUGCUUCUGAAACUCUUAAUCUCGAAUAUGGGAGAGGUAGAUGGAAUUUCUGGUGUAGGGGUAAAAUCCGUAGAGAUCAGAAGGAAUACCGAUUGCGAAGGCGAUCUACUAGAACAUUAUUGACGCUGAGACGCGAAAGCGUGGGGAGCAAACAGGAUUAGAUACCCUAGUAGUC